CAGUGGCUAAUAUGCAGGAAUUAUGCAA
Molecule: non-coding RNA, 28 nt
Filed under: Mus musculus (house mouse)
Lineage: Eukaryota; Metazoa; Chordata; Mammalia; Rodentia; Muridae
Source: RNAcentral